Molecule: non-coding RNA, 95 nt
Organism: Armillaria novae-zelandiae
Lineage: Eukaryota; Fungi; Basidiomycota; Agaricomycetes; Agaricales; Physalacriaceae
Source: the annotation of a GenBank genome assembly
UCCUUCUUAGCUCAGUUGGUAGAGCGCGUCACUAGUAUCAGGAGGUAUAAUUAUCAGAUAUGAGGAGGUCAGUCGUUCAAGUCGGCUAAAGGGAA